Molecule: ribosomal RNA, 1016 nt
Filed under: uncultured bacterium
Lineage: Bacteria
Description: bacterial SSU rRNA
Rfam family: Bacterial small subunit ribosomal RNA
Source: RNAcentral
AGGAAUAUUGGUCAAUGGGCGCGAGCCUGAACCAGCCAAGUAGCGUGAAGGAUGAAGGUCCUAUGGAUUGUAAACUUCUUUUAUACGGGAAUAAAGUGGUCCACGUGUGGGCUUUUGCAUGUACCGUAUGAAUAAGCAUCGGCUAACUCCGUGCCAGCAGCCGCGGUAAUACGGAGGAUGCGAGCGUUAUCCGGAUUUAUUGGGUUUAAAGGGAGCGCAGACGGGGGAUUAAGUCAGUUGUGAAAGUUUGCGGCUCAACCGUAAAAUUGCAGUUGAUACUGGUUCCCUUGAGUGCAGUUGAGGCAGGCGGAAUUCGUGGUGUAGCGGUGAAAUGCAUAGAUAUCACGAAGAACCCCGAUUGCGAAGGCAGCCUGCUAAGCUGUAACUGACGUUGAGGCUCGAAAGUGUGGGUAUCAAACAGGAUUAGAUACCCUGGUAGUCCACACGGUAAACGAUGGAUACUCGCUGUUGGCGAUAUACUGUCAGCGGCCAAGCGAAAGCAUUAAGUAUCCCACCUGGGGAGUACGCCGGCAACGGUGAAACUCAAAGGAAUUGACGGGGGCCCGCACAAGCGGAGGAACAUGUGGUUUAAUUCGAUGAUACGCGAGGAACCUUACCCGGGCUUAAAUUGCAGACGAAUUACUUGGAAACAGGUAAGCCGCAAGGCGUCUGUGAAGGUGCUGCAUGGUUGUCGUCAGCUCGUGCCGUGAGGUGUCGGCUUAAGUGCCAUAACGAGCGCAACCCUCGUGGCCAGUUACUAACAGGUAACGCUGAGGACUCUGGCCAGACUGCCAUCGUAAGAUGCGAGGAAGGUGGGGAUGACGUCAAAUCAGCACGGCCCUUACGUCCGGGGCUACACACGUGUUACAAUGGGAGGUACAGAAGGCAGCUACCCGGCGACGGGAUGCCAAUCUCCAAAGCCUCUCUCAGUUCGGACUGGAGUCUGCAACCCGACUCCACGAAGCUGGAUUCGCUAGUAAUCGCGCAUCAGCCACGGCGCGGUGAAUACGUUCCCG